UAGUAAAGCCUUUAUGGGAAGGACCCUUA
This 29-nucleotide non-coding RNA is filed under the name Mus musculus (house mouse). Lineage: Eukaryota; Metazoa; Chordata; Mammalia; Rodentia; Muridae. The record is from RNAcentral.